Carica papaya (papaya) is the source of this 590-nucleotide non-coding RNA. The record is from RefSeq and is a predicted model, not a curated record. Lineage: Eukaryota; Viridiplantae; Streptophyta; Magnoliopsida; Brassicales; Caricaceae.
GAGUUCUCAGUCGUCUGGUAUAAUACGGAGCCGGCUUGCAGUUCAGCCAGGCGAUCUCCCUCUGUUUUGAAGCGAGACUAGCGAGGGAGAAGAGAGAGAAUCACAACCCAGAUCCCCAAAUUCUCUCCUCUACCUGCACAACACCUCUGCCGGGUGUUCACAAUUGCAAUCAAUGGCGGUCCUUCAAGCACUUGAUGAACCCAACCAUAAGAAGCAGAACAAGAACAGGAACCAUGGCUCCACAAAUUUCUUCGUCUUCGUCGAUUACAUUUUCCUUCUCGUUUUCCUUGGUUUCCUUUGUUUCGUAGUAUCCAAAAUUGUCGGUCAUUGAUUCCGUUUUUUCUCUCUACUCUAAUCAAUCCACCAAGCAUUUAGGAUGUCGAGGUUUCCCUGUUGCCGACUUCCAGGAUUUGGGACAUUUCGGGUGUUGAUUUUGAGGAGUUAUUGACCAUAGUAACAAACAACUUUUUGUAUGUGAUAUAUCUUUUUCUUUUCUGUUGUCCUUACCAGCUUCUCAUGUAAGUUAUUACACACAUGCUUAAGCAUGAAUUCAUUAAUGAAAUUACUUGAGUUGCUUCUUUGUUGAUCAA